GAUGAACGCUGGCGGCGUGCUUAACACAUGCAAGUCGAACGAAGCACUUUAUUUGAUUUCCUUCGGGACUGAUUAUUUUGUGACUGAGUGGCGGACGGGUGAGUAACGCGUGGGUAACCUGCCUUGUACAGGGGGAUAACAGUUGGAAACGGCUGCUAAUACCGCAUAAGCGCACAGCAUCGCAUGAUGCAGUGUGAAAAACUCCGGUGGUAUAAGAUGGACCCGCGUUGGAUUAGCUAGUUGGUGAGGUAACGGCCCACCAAGGCGACGAUCCAUAGCCGACCUGAGAGGCUGACCGGCCACAUUGGGACUGAGACACGGCCCAAACUCCUACGGGAGGCAGCAGUGGGGAAUAUUGCACAAUGGGCGAAAGCCUGAUGCAGCGACGCCGCGUGAGCGAAGAAGUAUUUCGGUAUGUAAAGCUCUAUCAGCAGGGAAGAUAAUGACGGUACCUGACUAAGAAGCACCGGCUAAAUACGUG
This 481-nucleotide ribosomal RNA is filed under the name uncultured bacterium. RNAcentral describes it as "partial 16S ribosomal RNA". It matches the Rfam family "Bacterial small subunit ribosomal RNA", at positions 28 to 507 of the family's 1533-position model. The record is from RNAcentral.